UACGGGGGGGGCAAGCGUCGUUCGGAAUUACUGGGCGUAAAGGGCGUGUAGGCGGCCAACUAAGUCCGACGUGAAAUCCCCAGGCUUAACCUGGGAACUGCGUCGGAUACUGGAUGGCUUGAAUCCGGGAGAGGGAUGCAGAAUUCCAGGUGUAGCGGUGAAAUGCGUAGAUAUCUGGAGGAAUACCGGUGGCGAAGGCGGCAUCCUGGACCGGCAUUGACGCUGAGGCUCGAAAGCAUGGGGAGCAAACAGG
Molecule: ribosomal RNA, 253 nt
Filed under: uncultured bacterium
Lineage: Bacteria
Description: partial 16S ribosomal RNA
Rfam family: Bacterial small subunit ribosomal RNA
Source: RNAcentral